AGUGAACGCUGGCGGUAGGCCUAACACAUGCAAGUCGAACGGCAGCACAGUAAGAGCUUGCUCUUACGGGUGGCGAGUGGCGGACGGGUGAGGAAUACAUCGGAAUCUACUUUUUCGUGGGGGAUAACGUAGGGAAACUUACGCUAAUACCGCAUACGACCUACGGGUGAAAGCAGGGGAUCUUCGGACCUUGGGCGAUUGAAUGAGCCGAUGUCGGAUUAGCUAGUUGGCGGGGUAAAGGCCCACCAAGGCGACGAUCGGUAGCUGGUCUGAGAGGAUGACCGGCAAGAUUGGGACUGAUAUACGGCCCAGACUCCUAGGGGAGGCAGCAGUGGGGAAUAUUGUACAAUGGGAGGAAGCAUGAUGAAGCAACGCCGCGUGCGGGAUGACGGCCGACGGGUUGUAAACCGCUUUCGCCUGUGACGAAGCGGGAGUGACGGGAAUGGGUAAAGAAGCACCGGCUAACUACGUG
RNAcentral lists this ribosomal RNA (472 nucleotides) under uncultured bacterium. RNAcentral's name for it is "partial 16S ribosomal RNA". It matches the Rfam family "Bacterial small subunit ribosomal RNA", at positions 30 to 507 of the family's 1533-position model. The record is from RNAcentral.